RNAcentral lists this ribosomal RNA (758 nucleotides) under Leucaenicola osmanthi. RNAcentral describes it as "partial large subunit ribosomal RNA". It matches the Rfam family "Eukaryotic large subunit ribosomal RNA", at positions 76 to 853 of the family's 3401-position model. The record is from RNAcentral. Lineage: Eukaryota; Fungi; Ascomycota; Dothideomycetes; Pleosporales; Bambusicolaceae.
UGCCCUAGUAACGGCGAGUGAAGCGGCAACAGCUCAAAUUUUAAAUCUGGCUCCCUCGGGGGUCCGAGUUGUAAUUUGCAGAGGGUGCUUUGGCGUCGGUAGCGGUCUAAGUUCCUUGGAACAGGACAUCACAGAGGGUGAGAAUCCCGUACGUGGUCGCUAACCUUCGCCGUGUAAAGCCCCUUCGACGAGUCGAGUUGUUUGGGAAUGCAGCUCUAAAUGGGAGGUAAAUUUCUUCUAAAGCUAAAUACCGGCCAGAGACCGAUAGCGCACAAGUAGAGUGAUCGAAAGAUGAAAAGCACUUUGGAAAGAGAGUCAAAUAGCACGUGAAAUUGUUGAAAGGGAAGCGCUUGCAGUCAGACUUGCCCGUAGUUGCUCACCCAGGCUUUUGCCCGGGGCACUCUUCUGCGGGCAGGCCAGCAUCAGUUUGGGCGGCCGGACAAAGACCUCUGUCAUGUAUCUUCCUUCGGGAUGACCUUAUAGGGGAGGUGUAAUGCGGCCAGCCCGGACUGAGGUCCGCGCUUCUGCUAGGAUGCUGGCGUAAUGGCUGUAAGCGGCCCGUCUUGAAACACGGACCAAGGAGUCUAACAUCUAUGCGAGUGUUUGGGUGUCAAGCCCGGGCGCGCAAUGAAAGUGAACGGAGGUGGGAACCUUAGGGUGCACCAUCGACCGAUCCUGAUGUCUUCGGAUGGAUUUGAGUAAGAGCAUAGCUGUUGGGACCCGAAAGAUGGUGAACUAUGCUUGAAUAGGGUGAAGCC